UUACUUUAAAAAAAAUUUCAUAGUUAGUCAUUCUUUAUAUUAAACUUCCACUGCUUAACCUACAAUGUGAUUUCUAUUUCCUGAUGGAAUUUAGAAUGAUACUGCUGACUGUGAUGAAAUCGCUCUUCUUAGGGCAUAUAAGCCCUGUUUUUGAAUACAUGAUUUAAUCAAAUCCAUAUUUAAAGUUCCUAUGGGUCACUGUCCACUUUCCUAUCUUGGAACAAGAGUUCAAAUUAUACAGAUUUUAUUACAGGGAAGGAGAUAUUCUUGUAUUUGGAUUUUUUUCAGAAGAUAGUUUAUCUAAUUUAAUAGAAAUAACAUUAGCCUUAUUACCUAUACAGAAAAAAUUUCCAUGACUAUCUGUGUAAUGCAAGGCACAUUUUCAGAACAAAUACAUAAAUAAUUGCUGAUAUUUAGAAAGAAGCUUAGAUUACUUAGUGGGCAUAAUUUCCAGGUUCUAUUUAUCUUAUAACAAAGUAAUUCCUCCUUUAGAGUACUAAGUUAUGAUUGUUUUAAGUAACAUGACUUUUAUUACAUUUUACUUCUUCAAAUUUUAAAACUUAUUUACUGUUUAAGUUUUUGAUUGAUGUUCUGCUUUUAACGUACAAAGUAAGAAUGGUCAGGGUCAGCCCUUCUUAUGUUAUUUUGUGGUCAAUAUUGAAAAUCUUUGUUCCACUUGAAUGUAUCUAUCUAGGACAUAGAGCUGGUUGUCUGGCUGUGGAGGAAAAGGAAAAUGCAGUGGAUACAGUAGGAGAAGGUGACUACUAUACCUGCACAGCAAUUUCUUACCACAAAGAAGCAAGGAUUGGUGGUUCAGAUGGUGCUUGUGUCCCAUCACCAUUAGCUGCAGAAGCGAGCACUCUGGAGAGUUUGAAUAAUAAAUAUAUCGCUCUUUGUUCCCAUCUCACACCCUGAAAGUUUUCUUUGAAGUUUAGAGUGCCUUUCAUGUUGUGGAAAAUUUGCUGUAAUAUUCUGAAGGUCUAAAUCUUUCUAGCAGAGCUAUCAAAGGGCACAUCAUAGUCAGUGGUUCUGUUGACUGACUUCUGUGUUCAAUUAUGAGUUCCAUGUGGGUGGACACCAUGUCUCUAUUCUCUAUCACUCCUGACCAGCAUCCCAAGAGGAAAGCAGAUUCUUACCAAUGUUUGUUGAAUGAUUAGAUGACUAAAUAAAUUUUAUACUGUUAUUAUGAUCUGGCUACUCAGUGCUUUUUCUCUGAGAAUUUAAAAUUAUUUUGCUAACUGGUUGCUAGUUUCCUAUACAACAGACACAGCUACCUUGGAUCUUAGUAUCAAAACAUACGAGGAAUGUCUACUGUGUAUCUAAUUAGUUGAGAACAGAGCAUCUUUCCUUAAAGACCAUCUGCAUUUUUUAAGAGCAGAGAGAGCUUGUGUGGCUGAAGGCUCCAGAUUCUAAUUCAAUUACAUUGCAG
Molecule: long non-coding RNA, 1429 nt
Filed under: Bos grunniens (domestic yak)
Lineage: Eukaryota; Metazoa; Chordata; Mammalia; Artiodactyla; Bovidae
Description: lncRNA (ENSBGRG00000013908.1)
Source: RNAcentral